This 176-nucleotide ribosomal RNA is filed under the name uncultured bacterium. Its description in RNAcentral is "partial 16S ribosomal RNA". It matches the Rfam family "Bacterial small subunit ribosomal RNA", at positions 1326 to 1500 of the family's 1533-position model. The record is from RNAcentral.
CCGGAAUUGCUAGUAAUGGCAGGUCAGCACACUGCCGUGAAUACGUUCCCGGGCCUUGUACACACCGCCCGUCACACCAUGAGAGUUGGAAAUACCCGAAGCCUGUGAGCUAACCUUAUAGGAGGCAGCAGUCGAAGGUAGAGUCAAUGAUUGGGGUGAAGUCGUAACAAGGUAGC